AGUGAACGCUGGCGGUAGGCCUAACACAUGCAAGUCGAACGGCAGCACAGCAGUAGCAAUACUGUGGGUGGCGAGUGGCGGACGGGUGAGGAAUACAUCGGAAUCUACCUUUUCGUGGGGGGAUAACGUAGGGAAACUUACGCUAAUACCGCAUAAGACCUUCGGGUGAAAGCCGGGGACCUUCGGGCCUGGCGCGGAUA
This 200-nucleotide ribosomal RNA is filed under the name uncultured bacterium. RNAcentral describes it as "partial 16S ribosomal RNA". It matches the Rfam family "Bacterial small subunit ribosomal RNA", at positions 29 to 223 of the family's 1533-position model. The record is from RNAcentral.